UCCUCUGUAGUUCAAUGGUAGAACAAUGGACUGUUAAUCCGUAUGUUACUGGUUCGAAUCCAGUCGGGGGAG
This 72-nucleotide transfer RNA is filed under the name Candidatus Nardonella dryophthoridicola. RNAcentral's name for it is "tRNA-Asn". It matches the Rfam family "tRNA". From Rfam's summary of the family: Transfer RNA (tRNA) molecules are approximately 80 nucleotides in length. Their secondary structure includes four short double-helical elements and three loops (D, anti-codon, and T loops). The record is from RNAcentral. Lineage: Bacteria; Pseudomonadati; Pseudomonadota; Gammaproteobacteria. RNAcentral also lists the same sequence under 1 other name.